GUGCUGAUAUAAGGGUUCGACUCCGGAGAGGGAGCCUGAGAAACGGCUACCACAUCCAAGGAAGGCAGCAGGCGCGCAAAUUACCCACUCUCGGCACGAGGAGGUAGUGACGAAAAAUAACGAGACGGAUCUCUUUGAGGCCCGUUAUCGGAAUGAGAACAAUUCAAAUCCUUUAACGAGGAUCUAGCGGAGGGCAAGUCUGGUGCCAGCAGCCGCGGUAAUUCCAGCUCCGCAGGUGUAUAUCUAUGCUGCUGCGGUUAAAAAGCUCGUAGUUGGAUCUGCGUGCUCGGAACUGGUUGGCUCACUGAGUUCAAACUGGUCUCCGGCGCUUUAUUGGCUGGUUUUCCCUUGAUGCUCUUAACCGGGUGUCUUGGGUGGCUAGCACGUUUACUUUGAAAAAAUUAGAGUGCUCAAUACAGGCGUAAAGCCUUGAAUAGUGGUGCAUGGAAUAAUAGAAUAGGACCUCGGCUCUAUUUUGUUGGUUUUCGGAACGCGAGGUAAUGAUUAAGAGGGACAGACGGGGGCAUUCGUAUUGCGACGUUAGAGGUGAAAUUCUUGGAUCGUCGCAAGACGGACGACUGCGAAAGCAUUUGCCAAGAAUGUUUUCAUUAAUCAAGAACGAAAGUUAGAGGUUCGAAGGCGAUCAGAUACCGCCCUAGUUCUAACCGUAAACGAUGCCAACUAGCGAUUCGCAGACGUUAAACAACGACCUUGCGGGCAGCUUCCCGGAAACGAAAGUGUUCGGGUUCCGGGGGAAGUAUGGUUGCAAAGCUGAAACUUAAAGGAAUUGACGGAAGGGCACCACCAGGAGUGGAGCCUGCGGCUUAAUUUGACCCAACACGGGAAAACUCACCCGGCCCGGACACCGUAAGGAUUGACAGAUUGAGAGCUCUUUCUUGAUUCGGUGGGUGGUGGUGCAUGGCCGUUCUUAGUUGGUGGAGCGAUUUGUCUGGUUUAUUCCGAUAACGAACGAGACUCUGGCCUACUAAAUAGUGGGCGGAUUCUUUCUGUCCGCAACACUUCUUAGAGGGACAAGCGGUGUUCAGCCGCACGAGAUUGAGCAAUAACAGGUCUGUGAUGCCCUUAGAUGUCCGGGGCUGCACGCGCGCUACACUGAAGGAAUCAGCGUGCUUUCUGACCUUGCCCGAAAGGGCUGGGUAACCCGAUGAAAAUCCUUCGUGAUUGGGAUAGGGACUUGCAAUUAUUUCCCUUGAACGAGGAAUUCCCAGUAAGUGUGGGUCAUAAGCUCGCGUUGAUUACGUCCCUGCCCUCUGUACACACCGCCCGUCGCUGCCCGGAACUGAGCCGUUUCGAGAAGAACAGGGACCGUCGUUGAAGGGCCUUAACGGGUUUUUCUCUGAUAGAAACUGUUUUAAUCGCAGUGGCUUGAACCGGGCAAAAGUCGUAACAAGGUU
This 1415-nucleotide ribosomal RNA is filed under the name metagenome. RNAcentral describes it as "SSU rRNA". It matches the Rfam family "Eukaryotic small subunit ribosomal RNA", at positions 359 to 1801 of the family's 1831-position model. The record is from RNAcentral.